Long non-coding RNA from Oncorhynchus keta (chum salmon), 541 nucleotides. RefSeq lists it as uncharacterized. The transcript is spliced from 6 exons. The record is from RefSeq and is a predicted model, not a curated record. Lineage: Eukaryota; Metazoa; Chordata; Actinopteri; Salmoniformes; Salmonidae.
AUACGACAGAUCAAGGCAACAACAAAAACGUGCACAUAAGACAAAACAAAGAAUGAUAGUGAAUACAAGUGAUUUGGCAGCACACCUUCAAUUGAAGCACACAGUCAAGACAACUAUGACAUACAUAGCAUAGGCAUUACAUUUGAGGGUACGUCGUAACUGUGGUCCUAGAGAGAGUGAGAGUGGUCCUAUAGAGAGAGAGGUCCUAGAGAGAGAGAGAGGUCCUAGAGAGAGAGAGAGUGGUCCUAGAGAGAGAGAGAGUGGUCCUAUAGAGAGAGUGAGAGGUCCUAUAGAGAGAGAGUUGUCCUAUAGAGAGAGAGUUGUCCUAUAGAGAGAGAGUUGUCCUAUAGAGAGAGUGGUCCUAUAGAGAGAGAGUGGUCCUAUAGAGAGAGUGUGGUCCUAUAGAGAGUGGUCCUAUAGAGAGUGGUCCUAUAGAGAGUGGUCCUAUAGAGAGUGGUCCUAUAUAGAGAGUGGUCCAUGGGUAAGUCACCUGGUUGGAGAACUGGUUCCAGUUCCACAUGCUCAACUUAAAUGAUUGAAU